Molecule: ribosomal RNA, 315 nt
Filed under: Triticum aestivum (bread wheat)
Lineage: Eukaryota; Viridiplantae; Streptophyta; Magnoliopsida; Poales; Poaceae
Description: partial small subunit ribosomal RNA
Source: RNAcentral
AUGCAGAAGAAUGCGUGCACUGGUACACUACCUCAUAGGUCUGCCGUUCUUUCUGUCGUUUCCCAUCCCAAUCUUCCAGUUCCAGUAACAGGUACAGAAGACGGUCAUGUUUAUUUGUGGUGCUCCAUUAGUUUCAGGCUCAAGAGGAUACUGAACAUUCAUGGACGUGAAAGGGUCUUGGAGUGCGGGAGAAAUCCCUUGCCGGCUCUCUUCCGGCUCCGAUGCAGUGACACCUGCGGUUGCCACCAUCCCUUCUUGGAGGGUGUCGGAUGUAUCCAUUCCCCACUUCCUUUCGCGUGCCGGGGGAAACCCUAG